AUAAUUUCCGCGCGGAGCGGAAUUUUUCUUUGUCUUUUCUAAUUAGUUCCUAACCGGAGACAAGACAAAGAAAAAUUCCGGUCCGCGCGCAAAAUUCCGUAUAUC
This is a non-coding RNA of Paramuricea clavata, 105 nucleotides long. The record is from the annotation of a GenBank genome assembly. NCBI's taxonomy places the organism in Eukaryota, Metazoa, Cnidaria, Anthozoa, Malacalcyonacea, Plexauridae.